GGGGAGAAGUCGUAACAAGGUAGCCGUAGGGGAACCUGCGGCUGGAUCACCUCCUUUCUAAGGAUGGCUCUUCAGAAGCUUGCUUCUAUCGAGCUGUUUUAGAAACAUCAGUGGCCAACAGAUCGCCAGAUCGUUGAGCUGCAUUGGCGGGAUUUCGCCGUCUUCGUUUCUCUUUCUUCGCGGACGAACACGCGCUGGGGCUGCAAGCAUGCAGAAUCCCCGGUCCUUAACAGGAUAAGCGUUAGGGGCUUGUAGCUCAGUUGGUUAGAGCGCGCGCUUGAUAAGCGUGAGGUCGGAAGUUCAAGUCUUCCCAGGCCCACCACUUUCAUCGAGUGAGCAUUCGUCUUCUGGUUACGGGGCCAUAGCUCAGCUGGGAGAGCGCGUGCUUUGCAAGCAUGAGGUCGUCGGUUCGAUCCCGUCUGGCUCCACCAGAUGGUUUGAUCACCGAGAUCUUGUACCGUCGUCCGCGAAACAUCACUUCGCAUCCUGCUAGUCUGGAUAGACAGCAAGAUGCGUGUUUUCUGACAUCGUAAAGAGGAGAUCGAUCCGAGUUGGGUCGUGUAGCAGAUUGCUGCGCGGAUCCUUCAUUAUCUCCGGAUCAUUUUCGGCGCUCGGCGCCGACCGCAAGGUUGGCUGUCGAGUUGUAAAAUGAUCCUUUUAGCGAAGCUUGACCGCCUCGCUAUCGGAACGAUCUUACGAAGCAAGCUGGUCUUUCUAGUCAAUGUCCGGCUGCAGAUAGCGUUCAUCGAGGGCGCGUGCCGCAAGGCAAUUCUGCAGACAACAUUCUGCCGAGUGUGUGGACAUUGAUAAUGAGAGCAAUCAAGUGCCUUAAGGGUGUUCGGUGGAUGCCUUGGCGCUGAGAGGCGAUGAAGGA
Molecule: unclassified non-coding RNA, 874 nt
Filed under: Bradyrhizobium sp. TSA15y
Lineage: Bacteria; Pseudomonadati; Pseudomonadota; Alphaproteobacteria; Hyphomicrobiales; Nitrobacteraceae
Description: partial contains 16S ribosomal RNA, 16S-23S ribosomal RNA intergenic spacer, and 23S ribosomal RNA
Rfam family: tRNA (bases 246-319)
Source: RNAcentral